This 27-nucleotide non-coding RNA is filed under the name Rattus norvegicus (Norway rat). The record is from RNAcentral. Lineage: Eukaryota; Metazoa; Chordata; Mammalia; Rodentia; Muridae.
AAGGAAGUAAAGACCUCACCAAACCAU